AUUGCGCAUGGGGGAAACCCUGNGCAGCGACGCCGCGUGCGGGAUGAAGGCCUUCGGGUUGUAAACCGCUUUCACCAGGGACGAAGCGAGAGUGACGGUACCUGGGGAAGAAGCGCCGGCUAACUACGUGCCAGCAGCCGCGGUAAUACGUAGGGCGCGAGCGUUGUCCGGAAUUAUUGGGCGUAAAGAGCUCGUAGGCGGCCGGUUGCGUCUGCUGUGAAAUCCCGGGGCUUAACCCCGGGCGUGCAGUGGAUACGGGCCGGCUGGAGGCAGGCAGGGGAGAAUGGAAUUCCCGGUGUAGCGGUGAAAUGCGCAGAUAUCGGGAGGAACACCGGUGGCGAAGGCGGUUCUCUGGGCCUGUACUGACGCUGAGGAGCGAAAGCGUGGGGAGCGAACAGGAUUAGAUACCCUGGUAGUCCACGCCGUAAACGUUGGGCGCUAGGUGUGGGUCCCUUCCACGGGGUCUGUGCCGCAGCUAACGCAUUAAGCGCCCCGCCUGGGGAGUACGGCCGCAAGGCUAAAACUCAAAGAAAUUGACGGA
Molecule: ribosomal RNA, 541 nt
Filed under: uncultured bacterium
Lineage: Bacteria
Description: bacterial SSU rRNA
Rfam family: Bacterial small subunit ribosomal RNA
Source: RNAcentral